UACGGGGGUGGCGAGCGUUACUCGGAUUCAUUGGGUGUAAAGGGCAGGUAGGUGGCUAUGUAAGUUGGAGGUGAAAUCCUUUGGCUCAACCAAAGAACUGCCUUCAAAACUGCAUAGCUUGAGGCUAGAAGAGGAGAGCGGAAUUCCCGGUGUAAGGGUGAAAUCUGUAGAUAUCGGGAGGAACACCAGUGGCGAAAGCGGCUCUCUGGUCUGGCUCUGACACUGAGCUGCGAAAGCUAGGGGAGCAAACAGG
Molecule: ribosomal RNA, 253 nt
Filed under: uncultured bacterium
Lineage: Bacteria
Description: partial 16S ribosomal RNA
Rfam family: Bacterial small subunit ribosomal RNA
Source: RNAcentral